CCUACGGGUGGCAGCAGUGAGGAAUAUUGGUCAAUGGGCGCGAGCCUGAACCAGCCAAGUCGCGUGAAGGACGACGGUCCUAUGGAUUGUACACCUCUUUUGUCGGGGAGCAAAAGACGCCACGCGUGGCGUUCCGUGAGUACCCUAUGAAUAAGCAUCGGCUAACUCCGUGCCAGCAGCCGCGGUAAUACGGAGGAUGCGAGCGUUAUCCGGAUUUAUUGGGUUUAAAGGGUGCGCAGGCGGAAGCUCAAGUCAGCGGUAAAAUUGAGAGGCUCAACCUCUUCGAGCCGUUGAAACUGGUUUUGUUGAGUGAAUGAGAGGUAUGCGGAAUUCGUGGUGUAGCGGUGAAAUGCUUAGAUAUCACGAAGAACUCCGAUUGCGAAGGCAGCAUACCGGCGCUCAACUGACACUCAUGCACGAAAGUGUGGGUAUCGAACAGGAUUAGAUACCCGAGUAGUC
This 459-nucleotide ribosomal RNA is filed under the name uncultured bacterium. RNAcentral's name for it is "partial 16S ribosomal RNA". It matches the Rfam family "Bacterial small subunit ribosomal RNA", at positions 338 to 795 of the family's 1533-position model. The record is from RNAcentral.